AGCGUAAAUAAUUCUAGCUGUUCAGUUUGUCAGUGGUAGAGAUUAUUAUUCCUUAAACCUUUCCAGAAUAUUAUUAUUCCAAAAUCAUUAAAAUAUAAUUAUAUUUAAAUUUUUAUAGUAUUUUGAAACCCUAUUUGUAUUUUUGUGAUACAUAAAAAGUAAUUUAAAUUUGUUGAUAAAGAUGGGUGAACGAAAAGGCCAGAACCUUUACUAUCCCCCCGAUUAUGACCCAAAAGUCGGGGGUUUAAAUAAGUUUAUGGGUACACAUGCCUUGAGGGAACGUGCUAGAAAGCUUCACAUGGGUAUACUUAUCAUAAGAUUUGAAAUGCCAUAUAACAUAUGGUGUGAUGGCUGUAAGAAUCAUAUUGGUAUGGGAGUGAGAUACAAUGCUGAGAAGACAAAAAUAGGAAUGUACUACAGCACACCAAUCUAUCAGUUUAGAAUGAAAUGCCAUCUUUGUGAUAAUCACUUCGAAAUCAAAACGGAUCCAGGGAAUUUGGAUUAUGUUAUUGUCUCUGGUGCUAGAAGACAAGAAAACCGAUGGGACCCAACUGAAAAUGGGCAGAUUGUUCCAGAAACUAAAGAAACCCAAAAGAAAAUGUUUGAUGAUGCUAUGUUUAGGCUGGAACAUAAGACAGGAGAUGAGGAUACAAGUAAAUUGGAUAAAUCCAGGUUAAAUAAAUUGGUUGGACGGAAUGAUAAAGUGUGGAAUGAUGACUAUGAAGCCAAUUGUGCUCUCAGGAGAAAUUUUCGGAAACGAAGAAAGGAGCUUGAAGAAUCAGCAGUCAAUGAUAGCUUGCUGCUGGCAAAAUCAUCUCUGGAUAUAAAUCUUCUUCCAGAAAACGAGGAUGACAGGAACGUGGCGGCUUUACUUUCUCUAAGACCAUCGAAGAGCAUCGAGGAAAAUCAAAAUUGUAUGCGAAGUAAAAUCAUGCAUUCCUCAGCUCUACCAAGCUCUAGUGGACUUCUUUCGAGCUUUGGUGGGUUGAAGAAAGAAGAGUCUUUAAGUAAACAGACACUGAAAACUCUAAACUUGGGUGUGAUAGUUAAACGGAAGUGUGAAACAGAGAAAUUGGAUAAGCAGAUAAAUGAAAAUGAAACACUUAAUAAAUGUGAUGAUAAUGUUAGUGCUAACAAUGAUGUUAAUGUUAGUGUUAAUAAAGUGUCGUUAGUUGGUGAUUAUAGUUCUAGUGGAGAUAACUCCGAUUAAAUAUGAGGUGCACUCCAUUUGGAACAUUACUUGAAGGCUUUUUUUUAAUUAAGUGGCAUGGGAUGCAAGUUCAUCGGCCAACGUUUCUACUGUGUUGCCAUACGGAAGUUCAGUUGAACACAUAGAAGGUUGGCUGAAGGUUGAAUUUUUAGGAGCUUGGACCAGGUGUGUACACGUGACACAUACCUACUGUAUGGGUUAUGUUCCAUACUGUGGUACAAUAAAUGGGUCAAAAACUGAAAAAAAAAAUCUUAAAAGAAUAAGUUUCAUUCAACUCGUUUUCAUAGGUUUAUGUUAUGUAUUUUAUUUUAUAAAAAUAAAACAACAUUACCGAGUGAAA
Leptidea sinapis is the source of this 1550-nucleotide RNA transcript. It is a transcript of the gene named coiled-coil domain-containing protein 130 homolog, with no coding region annotated. The record is from RefSeq and is a predicted model, not a curated record. The transcript has 5 exons. Lineage: Eukaryota; Metazoa; Arthropoda; Insecta; Lepidoptera; Pieridae.